Molecule: ribosomal RNA, 892 nt
Filed under: Leptodontidium sp. nc_besc_890d
Lineage: Eukaryota; Fungi; Ascomycota; Leotiomycetes; Helotiales; Leptodontidiaceae
Description: eukaryotic LSU rRNA
Rfam family: Eukaryotic large subunit ribosomal RNA (bases 559-892)
Source: RNAcentral
CCUGCGGAGGAUCAUUACUAGAGCAAAGGAUAGACAGCGCCCGCGGAGCUCGCUCCCGGGGCUACCCUACUCCCGUAGGGUUUAGAGUCGUCGGGCCUCUCGGAGAAGCUCGGUCCUGAACUCCACCCUUGAAUAAACUACCUUUGUUGCUUUGGCGGGCCGCCUCGUGCCAGCGGCUUCGGCUGUUGAGUGCCCGCCAGAGGACCCCAACUCUUGUUUUUAGUGAUGUCUGAGUACUAUAUAAUAGUUAAAACUUUCAACAACGGAUCUCUUGGUUCUGGCAUCGAUGAAGAACGCAGCGAAAUGCGAUAAGUAAUGUGAAUUGCAGAAUUCAGUGAAUCAUCGAAUCUUUGAACGCACAUUGCGCCCUCUGGUAUUCCGGGGGGCAUGCCUGUUCGAGCGUCAUUAUAACCACUCAAGCUCUCGCUUGGUAUUGGGGUUCGCGGUUUCGCGGCCCCUAAAAUCAGUGGCGGUGCCUGUCGGCUCUACGCGUAGUAAUACUCCUCGCGAUUGAGUCCGGUAGGUCUACUUGCCAGCAACCCCUAAUUUUUUUAAGGUUGACCUCGGAUCAGGUAGGGAUACCCGCUGAACUUAAGCAUAUCAAUAAGCGGAGGAAAAGAAACCAACAGGGAUUACCUCAGUAACGGCGAGUGAAGCGGUAACAGCUCAAAUUUGAAAGCUGGCUCUUUUAGGGUCCGCGUUGUAAUUUGUAGAAGAUGCUUCGGGUGUGGCCCCGGUCUAAGUUCCUUGGAACAGGACGUCAUAGAGGGUGAGAAUCCCGUAUGUGACUGGGUGCUUUCGCCCAUGUGAAGCUCUUUCGACGAGUCGAGUUGUUUGGGAAUGCAGCUCAAAAUGGGUGGUAAAUUUCAUCUAAAGCUAAAUAUUGGCCAGA